AUUGAACGCUGGCGGCGUGCCUAACACAUGCAAGUCGAGCGGUAACAGGUGUAGCAAUACAUGCUGACGAGCGGCGGACGGGUGAGUAACGCUUGGGAAUCUGCCUAUUAGUGGGGGACAACCCGGGGAAACUCGGGCUAAUACCGCAUACGCUCACGGAGGAAAGCCGGGGACCGCAAGGCCUGGCGCUAAUAGAUGAGCCUAAGUCCGAUUAGCUAGUUGGUAGGGGUAAUGGCCUACCAAGGCGACGAUCGGUAGCUGGUCUGAGAGGACGACCAGCCACACUGGGACUGAGACACGGCCCAGACUCCUACGGGAGGCAGCAGUGGGGAAUAUUGGACAAUGGGCGCAAGCCUGAUCCAGCGAUGCCGCGUGUGUGAAGAAGGCCUGCGGGUU
This 396-nucleotide ribosomal RNA is filed under the name uncultured bacterium. RNAcentral's name for it is "bacterial SSU rRNA". It matches the Rfam family "Bacterial small subunit ribosomal RNA", at positions 29 to 424 of the family's 1533-position model. The record is from RNAcentral.